Molecule: ribosomal RNA, 253 nt
Filed under: uncultured bacterium
Lineage: Bacteria
Description: partial 16S ribosomal RNA
Rfam family: Bacterial small subunit ribosomal RNA
Source: RNAcentral
UACGUAGGGUGCAAGCGUUGUCCGGAAUUAUUGGGCGUAAAGAGCUCGUAGGCGGCUUGUCACGUCGGUUGUGAAAACCUGGGGCUCAACCCCGGGCCUGCAGCCGAUACGGGCAAGCUAGAAUUCGGUAGGGGAGACUGGAAUUCCUGGUGUAGCGGUGAAAUGCGCAGAUAUCAGGAGGAACACCGGUGGCGAAGGCGGUUCUCUGGGCCGUACCUGACGCUGAGGAGCGAAAGCGUGGGGAGCGAACAGG